This 182-nucleotide ribosomal RNA is filed under the name uncultured bacterium. RNAcentral's name for it is "partial 16S ribosomal RNA". It matches the Rfam family "Bacterial small subunit ribosomal RNA", at positions 1319 to 1500 of the family's 1533-position model. The record is from RNAcentral.
CAUGAAGCUGGAAUCGCUAGUAAUCGCGGAUCAGAAUGCCGCGGUGAAUACGUUCCCGGGUCUUGUACACACCGCCCGUCACACCAUGGGAGUCGGAAAUGCCCGAAGUCGGUGACCUAACUGAAAGGAAGGAGCCGCCGAAGGCAGGUCUGGUGACUGGGGUGAAGUCGUAACAAGGUACC